UGCCAGCCGCCGCGGUAAUACGGAGGGUGCAAACGUUGCUCGGAAUCAUUGGGCGUAAAGCGCGCGUAGGCGGUUAUGCAAGUUGGGUGUGAAAGCCCUGGGCUCAACCCAGGAAGUGCACCCAAAACUGCAUGACUUGAAUCUCGGAGGGGAGCAGAGAAUUCUCGGUGUAGAGGUGAAAUUCGUAGAUAUCGGGAGGAAUACCAGUGGCGAAGGCGCUGCUCUGGACGAAGAUUGACGCUGAGGUGCGAAAGCGUGGGGAGCGAACAGGAUUAGAUA
RNAcentral lists this ribosomal RNA (279 nucleotides) under uncultured bacterium. Its description in RNAcentral is "partial 16S ribosomal RNA". It matches the Rfam family "Bacterial small subunit ribosomal RNA", at positions 506 to 784 of the family's 1533-position model. The record is from RNAcentral.